UUAAGUUAUUAAGGGCGCACGGUGGAUGCCUUGGCACUAGAAGCCGAUGAAGGACGUUACUAACGACGAUAUGCUUUGGGGAGCUGUAAGUAAGCUUUGAUCCAGAGAUUUCCGAAUGGGGAAACCCAGCAUGAGUUAUGUCAUGUUAUCGAUAUGUGAAUACAUAGCAUAUCAGAAGGCACACCCGGAGAACUGAAACAUCUUAGUACCCGGAGGAAGAGAAAGAAAAUUCGAUUCCCUUAGUAGCGGCGAGCGAAACGGGAAGAGCCCAAACCAACAAGCUUGCUUGUUGGGGUUGUAGGACACUCUAUACGGAGUUACAAAGGACGACAUUAGACGAAUCAUCUGGAAAGAUGAAUCAAAGAAGGUAAUAAUCCUGUAGUCGAAAAUGUUGUCUCUCUUGAGUGGAUCCUGAGUACGACGGAGCACGUGAAAUUCCGUUGGAAUCUGGGAGGACCAUCUCCUAAGGCUAAAUACUCUCUAGUGACCGAUAGUGAACCAGUACCGUGAGGGAAAGGUGAAAAGCACCCCGGAAGGGGAGUGAAAUAGAACCUGAAACCGUGUGCUUACAAGUAGUCAGAGCCCGUUAAUGGGUGAUGGCGUGCCUUUUGUAGAAUGAACCGGCGAGUUACGAUUUGAUGCAAGGUUAAGCAGUAAAUGUGGAGCCGUAGCGAAAGCGAGUCUGAAUAGGGCGUUUAGUAUUUGGUCGUAGACCCGAAACCAGGUGAUCUACCCUUGGUCAGGUUGAAGUUCAGGUAACACUGAAUGGAGGACCGAACCGACUUACGUUGAAAAGUGAGCGGAUGAACUGAGGGUAGCGGAGAAAUUCCAAUCGAACCUGGAGAUAGCUGGUUCUCUCCGAAAUAGCUUUAGGGCUAGCCUCAAGUGAUGAUUAUUGGAGGUAGAGCACUGUUUGGACGAGGGGCCCCUCUCGGGUUACCGAAUUCAGACAAACUCCGAAUGCCAAUUAAUUUAACUUGGGAGUCAGAACAUGGGUGAUAAGGUCCGUGUUCGAAAGGGAAACAGCCCAGACCACCAGCUAAGGUCCCAAAAUAUAUGUUAAGUGGAAAAGGAUGUGGCGUUGCCCAGACAACUAGGAUGUUGGCUUAGAAGCAGCCAUCAUUUAAAGAGUGCGUAAUAGCUCACUAGUCGAGUGACACUGCGCCGAAAAUGUACCGGGGCUAAACAUAUUACCGAAGCUGUGGAUUGUCCUUUGGACAAUGGUAGGAGAGCGUUCUAAGGGCGUUGAAGCAUGAUCGUAAGGACAUGUGGAGCGCUUAGAAGUGAGAAUGCCGGUGUGAGUAGCGAAAGACGGGUGAGAAUCCCGUCCACCGAUUGACUAAGGUUUCCAGAGGAAGGCUCGUCCGCUCUGGGUUAGUCGGGUCCUAAGCUGAGGCCGACAGGCGUAGGCGAUGGAUAACAGGUUGAUAUUCCUGUACCACCUAUAAUCGUUUUAAUCGAUGGGGGGACGCAGUAGGAUAGGCGAAGCGUGCGAUUGGAUUGCACGUCUAAGCAGUAAGGCUGAGUAUUAGGCAAAUCCGGUACUCAUUAAGGCUGAGCUGUGAUGGGGAGAAGACAUUGUGUCUUCGAGUCGUUGAUUUCACACUGCCGAGAAAAGCCUCUAGAUAGAAAAUAGGUGCCCGUACCGCAAACCGACACAGGUAGUCAAGAUGAGAAUUCUAAGGUGAGCGAGCGAACUCUCGUUAAGGAACUCGGCAAAAUGACCCCGUAACUUCGGGAGAAGGGGUGCUCUUUAGGGUUAACGCCCAGAAGAGCCGCAGUGAAUAGGCCCAAGCGACUGUUUAUCAAAAACACAGGUCUCUGCUAAACCGUAAGGUGAUGUAUAGGGGCUGACGCCUGCCCGGUGCUGGAAGGUUAAGAGGAGUGGUUAGCUUCUGCGAAGCUACGAAUCGAAGCCCCAGUAAACGGCGGCCGUAACUAUAACGGUCCUAAGGUAGCGAAAUUCCUUGUCGGGUAAGUUCCGACCCGCACGAAAGGCGUAACGAUUUGGGCACUGUCUCAACGAGAGACUCGGUGAAAUCAUAGUACCUGUGAAGAUGCAGGUUACCCGCGACAGGACGGAAAGACCCCGUGGAGCUUUACUGUAGCCUGAUAUUGAAAUUCGGCACAGCUUGUACAGGAUAGGUAGGAGCCUUUGAAACGUGAGCGCUAGCUUACGUGGAGGCGCUGGUGGGAUACUACCCUAGCUGUGUUGGCUUUCUAACCCGCACCACUUAUCGUGGUGGGAGACAGUGUCAGGCGGGCAGUUUGACUGGGGCGGUCGCCUCCUAAAAGGUAACGGAGGCGCUCAAAGGUUCCCUCAGAAUGGUUGGAAAUCAUUCAUAGAGUGCAAAGGCAUAAGGGAGCUUGACUGCGAGACCUACAAGUCGAGCAGGGUCGAAAGACGGACUUAGUGAUCCGGUGGUUCCGCAUGGAAGGGCCAUCG
This 2446-nucleotide ribosomal RNA is filed under the name Staphylococcus aureus USA_15. RNAcentral describes it as "bacterial LSU rRNA". It matches the Rfam family "Bacterial large subunit ribosomal RNA", at positions 3 to 2447 of the family's 2925-position model. The record is from RNAcentral. Lineage: Bacteria; Bacillati; Bacillota; Bacilli; Caryophanales; Staphylococcaceae.